UAGGGUAAUGGCCUACCAAGGCAACGAUGAGUAGCUGGUCUGAGAGGAUGAUCAGCCACACUGGAACUGAAACACGGUCCAGACUCCUACGGGAGGCAGCAGUGGGGAAUAUUGCGCAAUGGGCGAAAGCCUGACGCAGCAACGCCGUGUGAGGGAUGAAGGCUUUCGGGUCGUAAACCUCUGUCAGAAGGGAAGAACGGGUGGUGGUCUAAUAGGCCUCCAUUUUGACGGUACCUUCAGAGGAAGCACCGGCUAACUCCGUGCCAGCAGCCGCGGUAAUACGGAGGGUGCAAGCGUUAUUCGGAAUUACUGGGCGUAAAGCGCACGUAGGCCGCUUUGUAAGUCAGGGGUGAAAUCCCACGGCUCAACCGUGGAACUGCCCUUGAAACUGCGAAGCUUGAAUCCUGGAGAGGGUGGCGGAAUUCCUGGUGUAGGAGUGAAAUCCGUAGAUAUCAGGAGGAACACCGGUGGCGAAGGCGGCCACCUGGACAGGUAUUGACGCUGAGGUGCGAAAGUGUGGGGAGCAAACAGGAUUAGAUACCCUGGUAGUCCACCCCGUAAACGAUAGAUACUAGGUGUCGGGGACUUGAUCUUCGGUGCCGUAGCUAACGCGUUAA
This 617-nucleotide ribosomal RNA is filed under the name uncultured bacterium. Its description in RNAcentral is "bacterial SSU rRNA". It matches the Rfam family "Bacterial small subunit ribosomal RNA", at positions 253 to 863 of the family's 1533-position model. The record is from RNAcentral.